Molecule: transfer RNA, 72 nt
Filed under: Camelus bactrianus (Bactrian camel)
Lineage: Eukaryota; Metazoa; Chordata; Mammalia; Artiodactyla; Camelidae
Also listed under: 2 other names
Rfam family: tRNA
About the family: Transfer RNA (tRNA) molecules are approximately 80 nucleotides in length. Their secondary structure includes four short double-helical elements and three loops (D, anti-codon, and T loops).
Source: Rfam by way of RNAcentral
AAGGGUAUAGCUCAGUGAUAGAGCUUGUGCUUAGCAGAUAUGAGGUCCUGGGUUCAACCCCCAGUACCUCCA